AUUGAACGCUGGCGGCAUGCCUUACACAUGCAAGUCGAACGGCAGCACGGGAGCAAUCCUGGUGGCGAGUGGCGAACGGGUGAGUAAAGUAUCGGAACGUGCCCAGUCGUGGGGGAUAACGUAGCGAAAGUUACGCUAAUACCGCAUACGAUCUAUGGAUGAAAGCGGGGGAUCGCAAGACCUCGCGCGAUUGGAGCGGCCGAUAUCAGAUUAGGUAGUUGGUGGGGUAAAGGCUCACCAAGCCGACGAUCUGUAGCUGGUCUGAGAGGACGACCAGCCACACUGGGACUGAGACACGGCCCAGACUCCUACGGGAGGCAGCAGUGGGGAAUUUUGGACAAUGGGCGCAAGCCUGAUCCAGCCAUGCCGCGUGCAGGAUGAAGGCCUUCGGGUUGUAAACUGCUUUUGUACGGAACGAAAAGGUUUGGCUUAAUACGUUGAACUCAUGACGGUACCGUAAGAAUAAGCACCGGCUAACUACGUGCCAGCAGCCGCAGUAA
Molecule: ribosomal RNA, 500 nt
Filed under: uncultured bacterium
Lineage: Bacteria
Description: partial 16S ribosomal RNA
Rfam family: Bacterial small subunit ribosomal RNA
Source: RNAcentral